Molecule: ribosomal RNA, 2872 nt
Filed under: Oreochromis niloticus (Nile tilapia)
Lineage: Eukaryota; Metazoa; Chordata; Actinopteri; Cichliformes; Cichlidae
Also listed under: 1 other name
Description: bacterial LSU rRNA
Rfam family: Bacterial large subunit ribosomal RNA
Source: RNAcentral
AUAAAGGCUUUGGAAGAAGACCAAGGCUCUAACGAGAAGCGCCGUAUCAGGACACGAAAGGUCAGCGAAUAUAAGUAUCAAGCAAUUGGUAAUAAAGCUGGAUCGCGCAAAGGAAACGUAGUGCUAGUCCCGUUGACAGGACUUGGCCCCAGAACUAAUGAGGAACGAAACAACGGAGUAUCAUUAGAGACAGAAAUCAACAGAGAUCCCGAAAGUAGUGGCGAACGAAAUCGGAUUAUCCCACGUUUAAUGGAUAGGUUCUGAGGAAUCCAUAGAGGGUAACUAGUCUAGACCCUGCAUUCAGAUCCCUAAUCCAGUCCAUCGGGGUGUUCAUUAAUUUACACCCCUGAUUGAUGACGUACGAUGAGUAGGUUGCGUGAUGAGCGUUACUGAAGAGGAGGACCUCCUUCAAAGGAUAAGAGUAGUUAGAGACCGAUAGUGAACAAAGUAGCGUGAGCGAAAGGAUGAAAGAGAACCCAAUCGGGGAUUGAAAUAGAACUGAAAUUCAAAGCUUAAGAGCAGUAGGAGUUCCAUAAGGAUGACUACGUACCUUUUGCAUAAUGGGUCUACGAGUAUAUAGUGUUAGCGAGGUUAAUUCGAGAGAUGUAGCCGAAGCGAAAGCGAUUCAGAGUUAGCAUUAUAUGACCCGAAACGGGAUGAUCUAAGCGUGUUCAAGUGGAUACUUGAGUAAUAUCGAGUUGAAGGCUGAACCAGUUUACGUGGCAAUGUAAUUGGAUGAAAUGCGCUUAGGGGUGAAAGGCUAAUCAAAUUCCGUAAUAGCUGGUUUUCCGCGAAACAUAUUGAAGUAUGACGGUUCCGGGAUUGUAAUAAAUGAAAUCCCCAAUAUUCAUCAUGAAAGGUAAAGCACUGCAAGGAUUCGAAAGACGUUCUGUAAUAGAAUGUAGGGUGGAGUGAAAUCCAUACCUAAUCUAAGCAAACUCAGAAUUAGCAUGAUGGAGAGAACUAGUCGGACUGUAAGCGAUAAGGUUUAUAGUCAAGAGGGAAAGAGCCCUGAUCAAAAGCUAAGGUCUCAAAGUGGAAUUAAGUGUGAAAGGAAGUUUCAAUGCGGAGAUAACAAGAAAGUAGGCUUGGAAACAGCCAUCUUUGAAAGAAAACGUAACAGUUCAUUGAAUAAUUAUGCAAUAGCCUAGUUCUAAACAAGCUUAGUUAUUGCUAACGCAUUGAAGCACCGAAGAUUUCGGAGGCUAAAUUCCAGCACCGAAGCUUUGAACUUAGAGAUAUUAUGCUCUGAGUGGUAGCGGAAGAAUCUGAAUUUAUUGAAUCGAUCUGAAAAGAUCAUAGUCAAUUACUUUCAUCGCAAGAUAAAUCUUUGACUCGUGUCUUUACUGACACACUUUGGAAUUCAGAUGACAAAAUGUAGACAUGAGUAAACAAAAGUCAGUGGAUUGGAAGUCUGAUACGUUGAGAUUAGAUGGAAGAUCUGUGACACUGACUCGCCGAAAGUCCUAGGUUUUCUGCGUCCAGAUAGACUGCGCAGAGUGCAACAGCUCCUAAGAGAAAAGCGAAAGCUGUACUCGAUGGAUUAACUAGAAUGACAAGAGAAUCGCAAUGGCAUUUAGGGUAUCACUACUCUAAUGACAAUGGUUUCGUAUUCAGGAAACAAUUCUAGUAUAUAGACUGUACUUAAUCUGACACCAGUGGACAGACGUUAAUGCGUCAAGGCGUGGAUGGAAUGUUCUCACAGGAACUCGGCACAAAUAAUACCGUAACUUCGGAAUAAGGUAUGUACUGCUUGAGAAAGUAGUAUCGCAGAGAAUGGCAAAGUGCGACUGUUUAUCAAAAACACAGUGUACUGCAAACUCGUAAGAGGAAGUAUAGUACAUGACGUGUCCUCAAUGCUAGUACCUGAAAUCAGCUUAUUUAACGGUAGGCUGUAUAAUGGCUAGUGAUAGGCGUCCUACUCCUGAGGAUGCGAAGGUAGCGAAAUUCCUUGUCUCGUAAUUGGAGACCUGCAUGAUGACGUAACGAUGCUUUGACUGUCUUUGAGAACAAAUCCAUGAAAUUGAAUUAACCGUGCAGAUGCGGUAAUAUGGCUAGGUAGACGAGAAGACCCCUACACCUUUACUAUAGGCAUGUAACAUAUUAAAGAAGAUCUGAGUGUAGAAUAGACGGGAAUAGCGGAGACAAGCUACAGUGAAAUACCGUCCUCUGAUUAUGAGUCUUUCUUUAACUUUAAUACUGCAUGCCAGUUAGUUUUCUUGGGGCGAGACCCUUUUAAAGUGUAACAAAGGGAUAGAAAGUCAAACUACUACUUUUCUCUUGGAGAGUAGCGUCGUGUAAGAGCAUAAGUUUGAUUGACUGUGAGACCUACAAGUCGAGCAGGUGUGUAAGCAGCUUCUAGUGACCCGCUUAUGUUUCGAGGAGAAGUAAGCGAUCAAUGAAUAAAAGGUACGUUGGGGAUAACAGGCUGAUCUGAGCUAAGAGUCCAUAUCGCAGCUUAGGUUUGGCACCUCGAUGUCGGCUAAUCUCAUCCUUCUGGUGCAGAAGCUAGAAAGGGUUCUACUGUUCGUAGAUUAAAGAGGUACUUGAGCUGGGUUCAAUACGUUGUGAAACAGUAUUUUUUCCAUCUUCUAGCCACUUCUUGAUAUCUAUUCCCAAAGAUUUCUUUGUACGAAAGGAUCAGAAAUCUGCAGCCUAUGGUGUAUCAAUUAUGGAUAACAUCUGUACAGUUGAGUAGCCACGCUGUAAUAGAGUAGAUCUGAAAUCAUCUCAAGAUCGAAACUAUGGGAUUGAAGAUAUCUGAUAGCGUUCUGUUGAUAAGGCUACAGGUGUUAGAUUUUUAACGAUUUUAGCUUAGUAGUACGGAACUAUUAACGUAGUUCAUAAUGAAGCUAUUUACGUAGUUCAUUGC